Molecule: ribosomal RNA, 463 nt
Filed under: Vreelandella stevensii
Lineage: Bacteria; Pseudomonadati; Pseudomonadota; Gammaproteobacteria; Oceanospirillales; Halomonadaceae
Description: partial 16S ribosomal RNA
Rfam family: Bacterial small subunit ribosomal RNA
Source: RNAcentral
CCUCGGGGGCUGCAGUGGGGAAUAUUGGACAAUGGGCGAAAGCCUGAUCCAGCCAUGCCGCGUGUGUGAAGAAGGCCUUCGGGUUGUAAAGCACUUUCAGUGGGGAAGAAAGCCUUGGGGCUAAUACCCUCGAGGAAGGACAUCACCCACAGAAGAAGCACCGGCUAACUCCGUGCCAGCAGCCGCGGUAAUACGGAGGGUGCGAGCGUUAAUCGGAAUUACUGGGCGUAAAGCGCGCGUAGGCGGUCUGAUAAGCCGGUUGUGAAAGCCCCGGGCUCAACCUGGGAACGGCAUCCGGAACUGUCAGGCUAGAGUGCAGGAGAGGAAGGUAGAAUUCCCGGUGUAGCGGUGAAAUGCGUAGAGAUCGGGAGGAAUACCAGUGGCGAAGGCGGCCUUCUGGACUGACACUGACGCUGAGGUGCGAAAGCGUGGGUAGCAAACAGGAUUAGAUACCCCUGUAGUC